RNAcentral lists this ribosomal RNA (1253 nucleotides) under Micrococcus sp. Its description in RNAcentral is "bacterial SSU rRNA". It matches the Rfam family "Bacterial small subunit ribosomal RNA", at positions 23 to 1287 of the family's 1533-position model. The record is from RNAcentral. Lineage: Bacteria; Bacillati; Actinomycetota; Actinomycetes; Micrococcales; Micrococcaceae.
CUCAGGAUGAACGCUGGCGGCGUGCUUAACACAUGCAAGUCGAACGAUGAAGCCCAGCUUGCUGGGUGGAUUAGUGGCGAACGGGUGAGUAACACGUGAGUAACCUGCCCUUAACUCUGGGAUAAGCCUGGGAAACUGGGUCUAAUACCGGAUAGGAGCGUCCACCGCAUGGUGGGUGUUGGAAAGAUUUAUCGGUUUUGGAUGGACUCGCGGCCUAUCAGCUUGUUGGUGAGGUAAUGGCUCACCAAGGCGACGACGGGUAGCCGGCCUGAGAGGGUGACCGGCCACACUGGGACUGAGACACGGCCCAGACUCCUACGGGAGGCAGCAGUGGGGAAUAUUGCACAAUGGGCGCAAGCCUGAUGCAGCGACGCCGCGUGAGGGAUGACGGCCUUCGGGUUGUAAACCUCUUUCAGUAGGGAAGAAGCGAAAGUGACGGUACCUGCAGAAGAAGCACCGGCUAACUACGUGCCAGCAGCCGCGGUAAUACGUAGGGUGCGAGCGUUAUCCGGAAUUAUUGGGCGUAAAGAGCUCGUAGGCGGUUUGUCGCGUCUGUCGUGAAAGUCCGGGGCUUAACCCCGGAUCUGCGGUGGGUACGGGCAGACUAGAGUGCAGUAGGGGAGACUGGAAUUCCUGGUGUAGCGGUGGAAUGCGCAGAUAUCAGGAGGAACACCGAUGGCGAAGGCAGGUCUCUGGGCUGUAACUGACGCUGAGGAGCGAAAGCAUGGGGAGCGAACAGGAUUAGAUACCCUGGUAGUCCAUGCCGUAAACGUUGGGCACUAGGUGUGGGGACCAUUCCACGGUUUCCGCGCCGCAGCUAACGCAUUAAGUGCCCCGCCUGGGGAGUACGGCCGCAAGGCUAAAACUCAAAGGAAUUGACGGGGGCCCGCACAAGCGGCGGAGCAUGCGGAUUAAUUCGAUGCAACGCGAAGAACCUUACCAAGGCUUGACAUGUUCUCGAUCGCCGUAGAGAUACGGUUUCCCCUUUGGGGCGGGUUCACAGGUGGUGCAUGGUUGUCGUCAGCUCGUGUCGUGAGAUGUUGGGUUAAGUCCCGCAACGAGCGCAACCCUCGUUCCAUGUUGCCAGCACGUAAUGGUGGGGACUCAUGGGAGACUGCCGGGGUCAACUCGGAGGAAGGUGAGGACGACGUCAAAUCAUCAUGCCCCUUAUGUCUUGGGCUUCACGCAUGCUACAAUGGCCGGUACAAUGGGUUGCGAUACUGUGAGGUGGAGCUAAUCCCAAAAAGCCGGUC